RNAcentral lists this unclassified non-coding RNA (779 nucleotides) under Hevea brasiliensis (rubber tree). The record is from RNAcentral. Lineage: Eukaryota; Viridiplantae; Streptophyta; Magnoliopsida; Malpighiales; Euphorbiaceae.
GCCACAGUUUACACCUAGGAGAGGUCAGUCCACACCAUCAGUGGGCAGCUCUCCAGGGAUGGGGUUCAGGGGACCAGCCCCAACAUCUUCUGCAUGUCCACACUGUCAGAAAUGGCAUAAGGGGGAGUGUUGGAGAGUGACUGGUGCCUGCUUGAGGUGUGGGUCAACAGAGCAUCAGUUGAAGAACUGUCCACGCAGAACUACUACAGCUGCUCCAACACAAGCAGACAGACCUGCUCCUGCACCACCAAGGGGUAGAAGGUCUGGUAAAUCCGAAGCGGUGGGACCAUCACAGAGGCCUGCAUCUGAGCCAGCAGAGAGGCCAGAUAACAGACCACCUGCCAGAAAUUAUGCCCUGAGAGCUCAGGAGGAGCAAGAUGCCCCGGACGUCAUCAGGGGUACUGGAGAUACGGAGCGCGAUCCCAGUAGACCCCAGUCAGGGUGAGAGUCAGAUCUGCUAGUGUCCUGUGUCACCUCUCAGCUGCAGUGCAUUGGUAGGAUGUUAGGCUACAUUUUGUAUUUUGUGUUUUGUAUCCUUGUAAAUUUUGUAAUUAAACUUUUAUUUUGUCAUGUAUAUUGAAACUUAUGUGAGUAUGUAUUAAUGAAAUUAUCUAUAAAUGGUGUUCAUAAAUAAAAGUUGAGUAUUUAUUUAUAAUUUGAGUAUAAAUAUGAUGUGAAUUGGAUGAUUGAAAAGUUUGAGAAAUUGAUGAGAAAUUGUUAAGAAUUGAUGACAUAUUUGGGAUUGUGGAUUGGAACAAGUAUUGGAAGUGUUUUUCACA